RNAcentral lists this ribosomal RNA (600 nucleotides) under uncultured bacterium. Its description in RNAcentral is "bacterial SSU rRNA". It matches the Rfam family "Bacterial small subunit ribosomal RNA", at positions 89 to 691 of the family's 1533-position model. The record is from RNAcentral.
CAUAGAGUGGCGAACGGGUGAGUAACACGUGGGAACGUACCCUCUGCAGGGGGAUAACUGACCGAAAGGACAGCUAAUACCGCAUAAGACCGAGAGGAGAAAGGUGCAACAGCAUCGGCAGAGGAGCGGCCCGCGGACCAUCAGCUAGUUGGUGGGGUAAGAGCCUACCAAGGCAACGACGGAUAGCCGGCGUGAGAGCGUGGCCGGCCACAAGGACACUGAGAUACGGGUCCUACUCCUACGGGAGGCAGCAGUGCGGAAUUUUAGAUAAUGGAGGCAACUCUGAUCUAGCGACGCCGCGUGCAGGAAGAAGGUCUUCGGAUUGUAAACUGCUGUGGUAAGGGAAAAAUGCCAUGUAGAGUGGAAAGCUACAUGGAGGGAUGGUACUUUACUAGAAAGCCCCGGCUAACUACGUGCCAGCAGCCGCGGUAAUACGUAGGGGGCAAGCGUUACCCGGAAUCACUGGGCGUAAAGGGAGCGUAGGUGGCCUGACAUGUCGACUGUGAAAACCCGGAGCUCAACUCCGGACUUGCAGUUGAAACUGCCAGGCUUGAGGACGGUAGAGGAAGACGGAACUGCCAGUGUAGGGGUAAAAUCCUU